UCAAAACAGCGGACUUCGGUCCUUGCUGCACCCUUGUCUUUUGCGCACCGUAUUGUUUCCUCGGCGGGCUUGCCUGCCGGUUGGACAUUAUCAAAAACCUUUUUGUAGUUGCAAUCAGCGUCAGAAAAACAAUAAUUAUUA
This 141-nucleotide unclassified non-coding RNA is filed under the name soil metagenome. RNAcentral describes it as "partial internal transcribed spacer 1". The record is from RNAcentral.